Molecule: ribosomal RNA, 253 nt
Filed under: uncultured bacterium
Lineage: Bacteria
Description: partial 16S ribosomal RNA
Rfam family: Bacterial small subunit ribosomal RNA
Source: RNAcentral
UACGUAGGGACCGAGCGUUGUCCGGAUUCAUUGGGCGUAAAGAGCUCGUAGGCGGCUGCUCAAGUCGAAUGUGAAAACUCGAGGCUCAACCUCGAGCCUGCAUUCGAUACUGGGCGGCUAGAGUUCGGUAGGGGAGACUGGAAUUCCUGGUGUAGCGGUGAAAUGCGCAGAUAUCAGGAGGAACACCGGUGGCGAAGGCGGGUCUCUGGGCCGAUACUGACGCUGAGGAGCGAAAGCGUGGGGAGCGAACAGG